AUUUGCGGUAUCAGCAGUCUUUCGGGGCUGUGCACUUGCUGCUUAUUGGGCCAGCAUCGGUUUUGACCGGGUGAUAAAGACUCUGGGAAUGUGGCUCUCUUCGGGGAGUGUUAUAGCCCAGUGUGCAAUGACCCGUGUUGGGACCGAGGACCGCGCUUCGGCUAGGAUGCUGGCAUAAUGGUCUUCAGCGACCCGUCUUGAAACACGGACCAAGGAGUCA
This 220-nucleotide ribosomal RNA is filed under the name uncultured fungus. Its description in RNAcentral is "partial 28S ribosomal RNA". The record is from RNAcentral. Lineage: Eukaryota; Fungi.